RNAcentral lists this ribosomal RNA (434 nucleotides) under uncultured bacterium. RNAcentral describes it as "partial 16S ribosomal RNA". It matches the Rfam family "Bacterial small subunit ribosomal RNA", at positions 29 to 507 of the family's 1533-position model. The record is from RNAcentral.
AGCGAACGCUGGCGGCAGGCCUAACACAUGCAAGUCGAACGAACCUUUCGGGGUUAGUGGCGGACGGGUGAGUAACACGUGGGAACGUGCCUUUAGGUUCGGAAUAACUCAGGGAAACUUGUUCUAAUACCGAAUGUGCCCUUCGGGGGAAAGAUUUAUCGCCUUUAGAACGGCCCGCGUCUGAUUAGCUAGUUGGUUGAGGUAAUGGCUCACCAAGGCGACGAUCAGUAGCUGGUCUGAGAGGAUGAUCAGCCACAUUGGGACUGAGACACGGACCAAACUCCUACGGGAGGCAGCAGUGGGGAAUCUUGCGCAAUGGGCGAAAGCCUGACGCAGCCAUGCCGCGUGAAUGAUGAAGGUCUUAGGAUUGUAAAAUUCUUUCCCCGGGGACGAUAAUGACGGUACCCGGCGAAGAAGCCCCGGCUAACUUCGUG